GGGGGGACGGCGCUUUCGUCCCCAGCCUCACGAGAUCGGGAAGGGAUUCCCGCACCCACGCUUGUGAACCUCGCCGCCGUCUCCUCUGCCUUCAUGACCCCGCCGCCGCCCGUCCCCUGCUCUUCCUCGCGCACCCACCGUCGCCUGUCCCCUCCUCUUCCUUGCGCACCCGCCGUCGCCGCCUCCUACUCGCCCUCGCGCAUUUGAGGCCAGCUGCGGAACGAGGUCGGACGGCGGAGACGAGGUCGAGGUCUGCGGCCUCCUCAGCUUGCGCAAGGCGGCCUCCUCGGCGACUCGUGCACGGCGGGGCAGCUGCGGACGAGGUCGGACUGCAGGGACAAGCUCGCUGUUGCCUCCUCAGCUGCUUCUCAAGGACAACUAAUAUCACUUCCCGACACCUCAUCGUUCCGACAACCUUCGGUUCUCAAGAAGUGAAUCUUGCAUUCUUGUAUCACCGAUCCGACAACCCCCGACGCCUCACUGCAGGUGCAAAACGGCAACGACGAGCCUAUCCACGUUGUCAAAAAAACACAUCGUCCGAUCGGCAAUCAUCGCUUGAUCUCUCCUGUCUCGCUCUACCCUUCCCUCCGUCUCAGGAUACUUCACCCUGUCUCUGGAUCAAUGUUCAAAAAAGCGUGCUUAAGCGCCGGCCUAAUCGUGAUUAGGCGCUAAGCGAUGCCUUAGCGCGGCGCUUAUGCCAUAGGUGUUGUUUUCCGCAGUGGGCGCGCGUAGGCGACGCUUAAUUUGCGCUCUACGCGCUAAAACGGAAAAACGUGCGUGGAAGCGGGAUUGGGCGCAUGGAAAAGCGCAUAAAAGUUUAAAAGGCACGCGGGAGGUGGGAGCUGCUACUGCACGUGAGAGAAGGGAAACUGGGCGAGAGCUGUUGCGUAGGAGAGGAGGGAAACGACGGGAAAGAAAGAGCUCGUGGAAGCUGCGGCUGCCCUCUUCCCCAGUCGACCAGUUCUGCCGUCGCCGCCUGUCCGUUUGUCCUCUUUGGCUCUUCCUGUCUUCCCCGGUCGCCGCCCACCAGGGUCAGUGACGUUAUAGUUCUGUUGCUCUUCCAGUCUUCUAGUCUCCCCCUUUUCUAUUUAUCUGUUGCUCCUCCAUCUCCUCUGUUCUAUUCUAUGUUUAAGACGGAUGCUUUGACUUGAAAGCUUAAUUAGUACAUGCACAUGCUUUGUAUAAGAUGCCUUCAUCUGAGCCUAGCUAAAACUCCUGAUUCCUAGCUAAAACUGUUUUUCUGUUGCAACUAUAUAUAUAUAUAUAUUAUAUUUUAUAUUCCUAUAAACGCUUAAGCACGAUUAAUCUACGUUUAAGCUCUCUAGUCGCUAAGCAGUAGCUUAACGCCUGCCUAACGCCUAGCGCUUAAUAUAAGCUUGCUCUGGAUACUUCCGUUUGAUACGACGCUUGGCGAGUGGACGUCUCCCCUCGCUUCUUUACCCUUCUGCCUCAUCUUUCUUCCUACUCGCUCCCUCCGCGUCGUCCUUCUCCCGGCGCGGGAGCAAAGCCCACCGACGUCCGCUAAGUCAUGGCACCAUCGCCGUCGGGAGCAGCGACUGUGGUUCCUCAAUGUCCCUGCUCCCCUGCGCGCUUUGUCCCAGGGUUGUGUGGUGGGGAAGGAGAAAAGGUACCAGUGGAAGAUGGCGCUGCCGCAACGACGAAGAUGGGAGCGGUCAGCCAUGGAGUGGGAUGUGCAGAGGCGGAGGUGAGAUAACCAGAGCAGAAGAUGUUGAACGGCUUCUUCUCCAUCCCAUUUCCCUUCGUUUGCCUACUCCCUUCCACCGCAUACGGAUAGGCCCUCAAGGUGAUUUUCUUCUCCUCCCCAUACCAAAUCCUAGGUCCUGAAGCAUCUACAGGGGAACGAUAGUACGAUCAGCUGGGCAAGGUCAUAGGUCACGUCUAGCUUCGACGGAUUAGAUGAGGAAGCCGCAGCAGACCUUGGCCUGAACAUGAUGUCUGAUCCGAAGCUCGCGCUUAGGAAUGAAAAACUAAAGCAAGCUGCCAGUUGAAUGUAACCCGCAGAACCACAAAAUGCGGCAACAUUUGUGGAUAGACUUCAGAUCGAGACUUCAAAGGUUUUUUGUUUCAUAGAGCUGGGACAAACAUCAUAAUAUUUGAUUGGCUACUCAGUUACUAAAAAAUAUGCAUGCUAACUUGACCGUUGAGACAGAAACUUCUGUUUUUGGUAAUGAAGGCAUUCAUCGUGUCGUUCUUUGUGCAGAAUUUAAUCUUCACCAUUCGUAUGGGCUGUAGGACACUAGGUCUGUAGCAAAAAUAUGUAUGAAAUUAGAUACUAUAUAUGCCAUGAUCUUUCACCGAUUGUAGAACCAUGAAGGGAUACAAUAUAUAAGCUAAAAUUUUAGAAAAUGCUACAUCUACGGUUGCCAAGGAAUUCUAGGUACAUCAACCUUUUGAAUAGUAUGGGUCCUUGCACGCUAAUGUGGUGAUGGUUGUGGUGGCUGUGACUGCAAGCUGAAGGACUUCAUGUCGCACAUACACAUGCGGGGCACGGGACUUUGCUAGGAGUGGGAGUGAUUUCAUGGCCAGCGACAGUCAACAGAGGUAAUGCAUGGUGUGGAUUGUGACAUAAUGUGGCUCCAACGGGAUUUGUACAUCUACACAUGCAAUCUUUUUUGAUACAUGACAUAUAUUUUUAAAUUAGGGCCAAUAAUACCAGGCUUCAAGGUUCUUAUGGAUGGAGAGAAGAUACCAAAAUAUAAACUGGAGGUUGAAGCCACUAUCUGAUGAAAUGAUCAAGUGUUGCGCAUAUAAAUCAUGUUUUGAUUUUUUUUCCAUUGUGUUUGGUUUUGGAUAUUUUUUGUUUGCAAUUAUUCUUUAUUGUCAGACUAUAGGUCAAGGCCACUUCCUGAUGAAAUGAUCAAGUGUUUCACAUAUAAACCAUAUUCUAAAAUUCUUCUCUAUUGUGUUUGGUGUUGGAUAUAGUUUUUUUUGUUUGCUCCUUUUUUAUUCCUAACUUGCCAUCAACUAUAUGUAAGUGAUUUUACUUCUGCCCAUGUACGCUAGAGAACAUACACACUGUCUGUUGUACAUAUUUGACUUAAUGAGACAGACUACCGAGGGAGUCAACAUUUGAAAAUGAUCUUCUAGAGGUACAAAAAUUUGUAGUUUUAUGUGCAUAUCAAGUUACUGAACUAUAUUAUUACAGGUUGCAGGAACAUGAACUGGAUGCAAAACAGCUAGCUCUUGUUGCUGAUGCUCAUAAAAAAUGGUCCACACUGCUCCUUGGCACGGGCCGCGGAUGUGCCAUGCCGCGGUGGCGGACCCUGGGAAGCAGGAGCACCGGCGGCGGCGGCGCCGUGGCAACAGAGCAGACGUAGGCAGGCGUGGGAGACGUUGGCCAUGGUGACUGCGCUCGCCAAGGUGGUUGCCAUGACGGCUCCGGCCGGCUAAGGGACCCGGUGGCUCCGGACCACGGCCGGCCCUGAGGGGGUGCGGCGGGUGCGGCCGCACCGGGCCCCCAAAAACAGAGGGCCCCUCUGGCCACUAGACGUUAGCAUUUUUUUCCCGAUAAGCAUAUCUACCAUAUACAUAAAUACGCAAGAGCGAUGCACUAUCGAUCAGUUUCGUUUAGAUUGUUAAACUAAUGUCUCAAUUACUUAUCUAAUAUUCACUUCGUUCCAAAAUAGUAUUUGUUUUAACUCUUGAUUUUUAUGUCUAUAUUCAACUAUAUGAUGAGGAAUCAACUAGAGAAGCAAAAUAAAUUCUAUUUUGAUACAGAGAGAGUAUUAUUUACUAUACACAUGAUGGUUGCAUCGACGCAGAGAAGAUUUUUAAAAUUGAAAUAUUUUUUGAACUAUUUAAGGUCAACAAUGACUUAAGAGAGGUUAAAUGGUUUGGCGAUUAUAUGUAUCUAAAAGAAGGUGUUGGAUGUGAUUAAUCUUAAUGGUAUAAGCGAUGAUUUGUAUCACAAAAUGUUAGAAGAUAUUUUUAAUAACAUCGGAUAACAAGUAUGUGUUUUUGAUAUAUUUUAUAUUUGUCAUCUUAUAAACUUGAAAAUAGUGCAUAAUAAUUUGUAUAUGUUGAAUAUUAUAUAUAUUGUGUGUGGAUAGGACCUCCAUUUCAGAUUUCGCACCAGGCCCUAAAAAAUCAGGAACGGCCCUGCUCCGGACGUGGUGGCUGUACCUUGAGAUGCAGCGGCACGCCAAGCUGUUGUCGUCCCGCUUCAUGCUCCACAUUAAGACAAAGUCGCCAUCGUCGUUACCA
RNA transcript from Zea mays, 4224 nucleotides. RefSeq lists it as uncharacterized. The record is from RefSeq and is a predicted model, not a curated record. The transcript is spliced from 5 exons. NCBI's taxonomy places the organism in Eukaryota, Viridiplantae, Streptophyta, Magnoliopsida, Poales, Poaceae.